This 251-nucleotide ribosomal RNA is filed under the name uncultured bacterium. Its description in RNAcentral is "partial 16S ribosomal RNA". It matches the Rfam family "Bacterial small subunit ribosomal RNA", at positions 107 to 353 of the family's 1533-position model. The record is from RNAcentral.
UGAGUAACGCGUGAGUAACCUGCCUUUCAGAGGGGGAGUAACGUUCUGAAAAGAACGCUAAUACCGCAUGAGACUACAGAGCUGCAUGGCUCAGUGGUCAAAGGAGCAAUCCGCUGAAAGAUGGACUCGCGUCCGAUUAGAUAGUAGGCGGGGUAACGGCCCACCUAGUCGACGAUCGGUAGCCGGGCUGAGAGGUUGAACGGCCACAUUGGGACUGAGACACGACCCAGACUCCUACGGGAGGCAGCAUG